UAUGGGAAUCACUGGUUAAUCAGAAGCACUAUAGCCAAGAGUGCUUCUCUUGGAGAAGGAAACACAGAAACUCUGUUCCUUUCCAGUGCUGUGACUUGGUCAAGUGACUCACCCCUCUGUGCCUUUGUUUCCUCAUCUGGGUCUUGGUGAGGCUUAGAGUGAGGACUGUUGGAAAGCAUUAGGACAGAUGUAUAAGGAGCAUAUACACGCUUUUAUACAAAUCUUCAGUUAACAGUCGUGGAAAGGACUCAAGCUCUACUCCAUCUCCACCUCCUUGGGUUUGGGUAAAUUCUCAGCAGGAUUGUGCAUUAGGUGAGUGUCUGCUUCUCCCCUGGGUCCCCAUAACUUUGCUUGCUCCUAAACAGGGAGUCACAUCUGGGAAGAGACAGUAGAUAAUGGAGCCAGAGAGCUGACUCACCACGUGGGAUGGCUGUGGGCAAGUUUCCCAGGUUGCACAAGCCACCGGGUUUUCUGAAACAGAUGGAAAGACCGCCUCUGCAGGCCGCUGGCUGACUUCAAGAUAGUCGUGCUGUAUCAAGUGGUGUGAGAAGGAAAGACCCAUAAGAGACUUUGUCAUCCAAGUUUCAGAUUCCCCUGGAUUCCUUAGCGAUAAGACAUGCAUGGCUCAUUACAUAUUCUAUUUAUGAAAUUUCUACGGGCAAAGACUCGAAUGCCCUUUAACUGGGUGCGCACAUGGGCAUCGCAUAGUUUUCCAGAGUAACCCAAGAUACUGGGGUGGAGAGAAAAAUGGAACCAGAAGACAAGCCAGCUUCUACCAAAGCCACCCAGCAGUCAGCCAGCCCAGACUCUCAAAUCUGGACCUGGGGGUCAGCCCUAGGUAGACAGGCAAGCCAUCUUUCAAAGGCUCCCAUGUCCUCUUAAUAAAGUGAGAGCCAGACAUUA
Long non-coding RNA from Homo sapiens (human), 903 nucleotides. RefSeq lists it as uncharacterized. The transcript is spliced from 2 exons. The record is from RefSeq and is a predicted model, not a curated record. NCBI's taxonomy places the organism in Eukaryota, Metazoa, Chordata, Mammalia, Primates, Hominidae.